CCUUGUGGUUAAGGCCUUUGGCUUUUCCCAAAGAUAGAGGGGUUCGAAAGCUGGUAUGGUGGUGGUGUGGUGGCGGUGAACUGGUUGUGGUGUUUGUUCCUUGAACUCCAAGGCCCAAAAGAAAAAGAAAAAAUAUAGGAUAUAUAUACCAAUGAGGUAUUCUAAAAUACCUCUGUUUUGUUUUUGCCUCAUCCCAUUCUCUUUUGACCUUGUGCAGAUUCUCCACAACUGAAUGUUUGAUAUUGCUGGUAUAAAGUCUCUGCAGGUUCCUGGUGGCAUCUUUCAUAGACAUUCUAUCCUUUGGUGAUUCUUCCUAGCAUGCACUUCCGAUCUCAAGGAUUGGAAAUGUAUUCUCUUGAUAUAGUCUGAUAUAUCUUUGGUUCUCCCAGUCUAUGAGUUGGCUCUUGACAAUGGUGAGAACUGAGAAGAGAAGGGUCUACAAUAUAAAGUUUUCCCCAUAUUUGCGCCGCUCUGCAACCUUUUCAUGGUUAGAUCGGAGGGAUAUAGGAAGACACGGCUUCGAUAAUUCGAAAGCUGGUAUGGUGUUGGUGAUGAAGAUGUUCUUGCUUGCUUUAAAUAUGAAACCCUGAAAGAAAGAACACAAGGCAUGACUAUAAUGAGGUUUCUAUGAAAUGGUUUGGAUUCAGAAGGGUAGAAGUUCGACAUUUUACAACAGGUUAGCCUUUUUCAGUGUCCUAGAACUCAGAGCUUCUGCAGAUGCAAAGGUUUUCUUCAGUAGGGCUGAAUGACCAAUACAUUUUCAAAGAUGGUCAUAUACCUUACACAACUUUGGAAGGCAUGAACUGUGGUUUUAAGUGCAUUGAUCUAAAGUAUAUCUGGCAUGAGACCUGAUAUUACAAAUACUUGUGUAUAGGCUUAUCGCUGUAUAUAGAUAAAAAUUUGCCUAAUCAAAGUUCACUGAAAUCACUCAUUGAGAAAUGCUUAUAUGGAAGCAUUAAUGAUGAUGAAUUACGUGGCCAAUAAUGGAUUAGUGAUAUCAUCAAUCUUCAAUCAGUUUUUUUUUUUUUCCUUAUGUUCCUAUAUUAGUAAUAGUGACAUCAUUCACUAUAAUUGGUCUUGACUACAAAAAGUUACCUUCUGGUAUAUGUCAUGUAAGAGAAAAGAAACAGUACCAUUUCCUCACAAGUUGUUGUAUCUUGAAAAUGUGUGGGGUUACUGAUUCCAGAAAAGGGUAUCUUGUCUGUACAGUGAUUUUGUUUUUAUUGCAAUGAGUAGCUAAACCGUACCAUAAUGGUUAUUUUGACAUUGAUCCAUGUGGUAAAUUUUGUAUUUAGUGUGCUCCAAUAUUUGCUGUACUUGGUUGAGUAUUGAGGGUACGUACUUUUCAAUGUUUCUUCAUAGACAGCAUUCAAUUUAGACUGCUGAAAGUUUACGUCUUGGACAUGAACUUAUUCUUGGUUCACUUGUGUACAGAAUUCUGUUUCCUCCAGAAUGCAUGGUGGCUUUACAUUUUGUGUUUUGAACUUUUGAAGCUAGGAAAACUAUGUUGUGAACUUGUGAUGUUAUGAGAAAUUGCAAAAAAAAGGUCAUCCUGUUAAUGAUUUUUUGUUUGAAUUUCUUUUCGAACUAUGUGAUUCUAUUUCUGUAGUUCCAGGAAAUUAGAUUUUAAACUUGGAUAACCUUUUGUUUUGCCUAGUUGUAAGGGUUUUUGUUGAAUGUGUUGUUUUGGAGAUUUUUUCUUCUGUUUUGUGCUUUCAACUUCAGGAGCUUCCUGAAGGUAGCUGGUAUUGUCCGCAUUGCACCUGUUGGAUAGAUGGCAAUUCUGCUGAUGAUAAAGAGGCUUCAAGCACUUCUGAUGGAUUUCAAUGUUCACAGUGCAAGCAAAAACCUUUUGUUAGACUAUCUUUCUUGCACCUAAAUAGUUUUCAUUACCUGUAGAGAGGGCUUAAAGUUGUUUGUUGUGGACGUGUGCUAUGUACAUCAGAACCGACAGGUAACUGAUAUUGGUAAAAGAAAAUCACCCUUAGUAUAAAGAGUUUCCAUGCUAGAAAUCAAGAUUUUCAAUUAACUUUUAAGUUGGCAUGCUGAAGCUGGUUAACGUUUUUAGAAGGUGUAUAGCAUUAGAAGCUUAUGAGAUGGUUAAAGAACAGAAGUAUUAUGUUUGAAAGCAGACAAUUAUUUGCUAUCAUCUUUCAGCUUUGACUUGUUAUGAAUUCUCAAUUUCACAUCCUGUCUAUGUGCUAUUAUAAUCGCUUUAUCUGCUUCUACUUCUUAGAUCAGUCGGAACUGGUUUUCAAUUAAUUAUCUUGGUUUUAAAAAUUAUUUCCUCUGUGUGUUACUAAUGACCUUGUGGAGAAGUUAAAUUACCUUUCCAUCUUGGUUUCACGGAAGUUCGAUGUCUACCUUGAUCAUGAGGCAUGUCUCAAUAAAAAAUGCAUUUAUGUAGGAGCCAUGCAUACUGAAUUCUUGGUUGUGUUGUAGAAGCUGGCAAGAGGUAUGUUAGCAAUUCUAAAUACACUUAGGAGGAUCAGUUGAUUUUAACAAAUGAGGAAAUUAAGGAUUUCUCUUUUAUCCUGCCAUGUUUUUAUUGGUAAAGCAAGGACUUCACUUACAGCUUGCUAGUGUUCAAUCCCAUUGUUUCGAUAUGGAAUAUUGUGGUUUUACUUUCCCGAAGCUUCAUUCUAACUUUAGGCAAAUACUUGCAAACUGUUAGUGUCUUGUUAAUUAUAUCAAGGACUCCAUUUUUUAACAAAGAGGUCUAGCUUGCUUGCUGCAUGUCUUCUGUUUUUCAGAGUCAAAUGAGGUUAAUAUUCAACUUAAUGCGUAUAUUUUUCUCUUGCCAGAGUUCUCUUCCAAGGCUUGACAGAGGGGUGGUAGUGGAACUCUAUUGAAGAUGUAUUUCCCAGAUGUGCUCAUUCGACAGUGGCAGAAAGAGCAAGGUCCAAAAUUUGCACAAGUCUUCCGAGUGUUGCCAGAUAACAAAGUUGUGGAGAUUCAAACCGUCUUUAA
Rosa rugosa (rugosa rose) is the source of this 2970-nucleotide long non-coding RNA. RefSeq lists it as uncharacterized. The record is from RefSeq and is a predicted model, not a curated record. The transcript is spliced from 5 exons. NCBI's taxonomy places the organism in Eukaryota, Viridiplantae, Streptophyta, Magnoliopsida, Rosales, Rosaceae.